CGUACAAGGUUUCCGUAGGUGAACCUGCGGAAGGAUCAUUACCUAGAGUUGUAGGCUUUGCCUGCUAUCUCUUACCCAUGUCUUUUGAGUACCUUCGUUUCCUCGGCGGGUCCGCCCGCCGAUUGGACAACAUCCAAACCCUUUGCAGUUGCAAUCAGCGUCUGAAAAAACAUAAUAGUUACAACUUUCAACAACGGAUCUCUUGGUUCUGGCAUCGAUGAAGAACGCAGCGAAAUGCGAUAAGUAGUGUGAAUUGCAGAAUUCAGUGAAUCAUCGAAUCUUUGAACGCACAUUGCGCCCCUUGGUAUUCCAUGGGGCAUGCCUGUUCGAGCGUCAUUUGUACCUUCAAGCUCUGCUUGGUGUUGGGUGUUUGUCUCGCCUCUGCGUGUAGACUCGCCUUAAAACAAUUGGCAGCCGGCGUAUUGAUUUCGGAGCGCGGUACAUCUCGCGCUUUGCACUCAUAACGACGACGUCCAAAAGUACAUUUUUACACUCUUGACCUCGGAUCAGGUAGGGAUACCCGCUGAACUUA
Molecule: ribosomal RNA, 532 nt
Filed under: uncultured fungus
Lineage: Eukaryota; Fungi
Description: eukaryotic LSU rRNA
Rfam family: 5.8S ribosomal RNA (bases 183-336)
Source: RNAcentral